This 3325-nucleotide ribosomal RNA is filed under the name Triticum aestivum (bread wheat). Its description in RNAcentral is "partial small subunit ribosomal RNA". The record is from RNAcentral. Lineage: Eukaryota; Viridiplantae; Streptophyta; Magnoliopsida; Poales; Poaceae.
GCAUCAGGUAGGCCGGUAUCCUGGCUGUUGGAAUGGGCUUUGAGAUCUGGAAUCUGUCAGCCUGUUGGCAGGCUCGUGUCGGCUCGUGUAAGCCUAUGCAUCCAUAUACGGUCUGGGAUACAGCCCGCGCGUACAUGUUUGGCCCAUCAGCCUGCUCGUGUCCUCUCUGCUCAACCUAUGACGCUCUUUCUCUGUCGUUCUCGUUCCUGUUCCGUCGCCCAGCCAUCCCCCUCCCUCUCUCUUUCUCAUCUGUGCGUAGUUCCCGCGGUGGUGGUCGUCGGCGACCACGCUCCCCUUCAGCCGUGGCCAGGAGACCGGGUGCAGCCCCACCCUCCCUCGGCUCCUGCGACCGAAGCGCCGGCCCGAGCGCUCGUCCUCUUCCACUCUGACUGCCAAAUCACCCGGAUCCCGCGUCCUCUUCCACUCCGGCGACCGGAUCCCCUCGAGUUUGCGGAACACCGGAUCUGUCCAGGGCGAGGUCCUUGUCCACGGAUCCGGCCGGGAGAAAUCAUUUUCUUCAUUGUUUUCGUCGAUUUGUCUUAGGUUCAGUUCAACUAAGAAUGCAAGGUGACAAAAUGCGACAAAUGGUUGAAAAAAUGUGCAGUUCUGCCCCCAGAGAAAAAGAUGCCAUCCAACAAUAUGCAUAGUUGGGUUCCUUGGAAACAUCACCCUUGAACUUUCUGACAGCUUGGAACAGAUGCUUCCACACAUAACCUCCCUAGUUCGAUUCUUUCAUUUUGCCUAUGUUGUUUUAGUGCUUCCAAGAAUAUGUGUACUGUAGUCAUGCCUGGCAGUGGGAGCAAGCACGUGGCCCAUCACAAAAAUUGCAAAAAUGCAAUAUCUCUAAGCAAAUAUGCAUCUGGUGCCUUCAGAUUGUGUGUUUCUUUAUCACUGAGACAAAUAAGCAUCUUGAUCGAUCUUGAUAUAACUAGUUUCCUCAUCAGGUGAGGAAUUCUUCAGCUUUUACUUCUUGAUUUAGCUGGUUGAUGAUGUUUUCAUGGCUAAUGGUGCUUUUUUCUGUUGUUAAAAAAUGCAAAUGAUUAGGUUCUAUUGAUUGCUCCUACGAAUGCAAAUGAUUAGGCAUAACAGAGAUAAGAUGAAUCCCACAGCUCAUGAUCAGACAACACAGCAACAAAAACCAAAUGGCCGAAGAGCAGUUGGUAGCUCGCAAACCUGGACACGGUAUGGUGUUCUGCUACCAAGCCAGCAGACACGGAAGCUAAAAGAAUGGAUUCUAACUGAUGAACAACAACAAGUAGUCAAUGCUAGUGGUCUUGGACAUCUUGCUCUUACGACAGGAUUUACCAUUGACCGUUCCUUGCUUACAGCCUUCUGUGAGAGAUGGAACAACGAAACAAAUACUGCACAUUUCAUGGGAUUUGAAAUGGCACCGUCUCUCCGUGACGUAUCAUAUAUUCUAGGAAUCCCAGUGACUGGUCAUGUGGUGACGGCAGAACCCAUCGGUGAUGAAGCUGUGAAUCGCAUGUGCUUGCAUUACUUAGGAGAGAGCCCUGGAAGCGGAGAGCAACUAUGUGGAUUGAUCAGAUUAACCUGGUUGUACAGGAAAUUCCAUCAACUGCCAGAAAACCCCACCAUCAAUGACAUUGCAUUCAGCACCCGAGCGUACCUUCUAUAUUUGGUUGGCUCCACCUUAUUUCCCGACACAAUGAGGGGAUUUGUAUCCCCAAGAUACCUACCACUUUUGGGGGAUUUCAGGAAGAUACAUGAGUAUGCUUGGGGGGCUGCAGCCCUUGCUCAUUUGUACAGAGGAUUGUCUGUUGCAGUAACACCAAAUGCUACUACCCAGUUUCUCGGGAGUGCAACUUUGCUCAUGGCUUGGAUUUACGAGUAUAUUCCUUUGACUCAACCCCAACAAAAGAAUCAGAACACGUUGCUGCCCCGGGCAUGCCGAUGGAACUUUGGAGGAACAACACGUGGGCAGAGAAAGAAAGUUAUGGAAUGGAGAAAGGAUUUCGAGCAGCUUCAGUUGUCCGAUGUCAACUGGAAUCCUUACAAGGACAUAAAUCCAGCGAUUGUUCCAGGAUAUUGCAUCGCAGCAGAUAACAUUUGCCACUCUCGGACAUGGCUAAUCAGCUUUAACAUAAAAGAGGUGUAUGUACCUGACCGGUUCAAUAGGCAGUUUGGGAGGGAGCAAGGUCGCCUCUAUCAGGUGCCAAUGUGGGCAAGAAGAACUUGGAGUAAAGGGAAAGACUGGAGGGUUGAGUAUGCUCGUGAGAUUGAUGACUUCCAUCAAUUGGUUGGUUGUCGUUUUAUCCCUUCUACGGGAGCUAAUAUAAACUCCCUCCCGAGUGAGUCUAUAGCUGGACAGAGCAGUACCAGAUGCAGCCGGAAUGCAUCUCAAAACUUCUCUAUGAUGGUGGAAGAUUUAAAGAAUGAUCUCCCGGUAAUUGAUCGUUAUCUGGAGGGACAGGUACUCCCCGUGGAGGUUGCAAGCUUCCUAGAGAGGGUGAGCAUGAUGAUCAAAACUUAUUCCCCACCGCAGAGCAAUGAAAGGAAAGAUGAAGCAGCUCAGAGCAAGAAUGUGAGAGCAAAGAAUCCAAGAAAGAGGGCGAGGAAACCUUUGGUCUCUGAAGAUCCUUCAAGCCCUCAGGACUGCGGGGUAGACCGGUAUGCAGGUGCGCUGGUGCCUUAUCAGGCUAGCAAGUGUGACAGGGUGUUGGAUGGCACCGUGCCUCUGCUAAACAGAGGGGAAGCGUUGAAGGAAAAUGAGGUGAUGGAUCCCUGGCAAAUGUCGCAUUUGACAGCAGAGUCGUCUUCGUCUGGAGACUCGAGCUUGCCGGAAUCAAGGAGGCGGAGGUGUGAGGAAUCCGGAGCCCCGAGGAGCAACCAGGGCGUCCGAAGGAGUGGAAGGAUGUGCGUGCAGCUCAAAAUGUUGAAGCACAGGGACGGGGUUGGGGCCGAGGAGACCAACCCGAUCUUCCUCUGAUAAGGGACUGACGCUGCCCGUCGUUUGGUCUUGGGCAUUGUACAAAGUAGUGGACCUGUCGUCGCGCUGCCGCAGACAGUUUACUGUUUUUUAUGUAGCGUUUGUAUGCCUUUGGUCGUGGUGACUGGUGAGUGAAAACCUGGCCUUUGGCAUGCGUACAUGAGUCGUGUAGGCUGGUGGGGCAAGGUAGAUGCCGCGCAACCUUUGUGGCGUAUGCACUGCUAUCCUUCCUCUCCAGUUAAUCUGCGGCACUUGCGUUUUGGUGAUGCUGUGCUUUGUAGAUAUGCGCAAGUGCUGGCCAUGACAGAAUGCCAGGAUGGGAUGUUGCACGGUGGUCUCUCAGAAUUUCAUGUUGGGGGCACGCCCAAUCUUGAAUUU